This is a long non-coding RNA of Dunckerocampus dactyliophorus (ringed pipefish), 1991 nucleotides long. RefSeq lists it as uncharacterized. The transcript is spliced from 3 exons. NCBI's taxonomy places the organism in Eukaryota, Metazoa, Chordata, Actinopteri, Syngnathiformes, Syngnathidae. The record is from RefSeq and is a predicted model, not a curated record.
ACGUGACACACCAAACUCACGAAGAAAGAAUACGUGCGCAUACAUCCGUCAUGGGCUCAUCAAAGACAUACAACGAAGUGGAAUUAUUCUCAAUUCAUUUUGAACAAUAAGAUAACAAAAUAUCAGGAGAUUCUCGAAUGGGACUUACUUCUAGAAACUGGAGGAAGACUGGGAAGAGAGGCCAAGAUCUGCCUAGCAACAAGGCCAGCAUGGAUUUUGCCGUGUCCAUGUCCAAAUUCCUCUGGUCUUUAUCCUGAUCAUGGAACACACGGACAUGGAAAAACCCACAGUGAGCAGAGAUGGGCUCGGAUCAGCAGAUUUUAAACACUGGAAUAAUAAAAAGAGUUCCAAGAUUAAAAACCACUGCUGAACAAAAAGAACAUUAAGGCUCAGAAAACAUCCUGAUGAUCCCAAAGACCUUUGGGAAAAUACUCUGUGAUCUGGCAAGACAAAGGUUCAUCUUUUUGGAAGGUGUGUGUCCCAUUACAUCUGCCAUGAAAGUAACACCACCUUCAGAAAAAGAACAUCAUAACAACAGUAAAAUGUGGUGGUGGUAGUGUGAUGGUCUGGGGCUGUUUUGCUGCUUCAGGACCUGGAAGAUUUGCUGUGAUAAAUGGAACCAAAACAUCCUGAAGGAGAAUGUCCGGCCAUCUGUUGGUGACCUCAAGCUGAAACCAACUUGGGUUCUGCAGCAGGACAAUGAUCCAAAACACACCAGCAAGUCCACCUCUGAAUGGCUGAAGAAAAACAAAAUGAAGACUUUGGAGUGGCCGAGUCAAAGUCCUGCCCUGAAUCCUAUUGAGAUGCUGUGGCAUGACCUUAAAAAGGCGCUUCUUUCUGGAAAAGCCUCCAAUGUGGCUGAAUGACAACAAAAGAUGAGUGGGCCAAAAUUCCUCCACAGCGUGUAAGAGACUCAUUGCAAGCUAUCACAAACGCUUGAUUGAAGUUGUUGCUGCUAAGGGUGGCCAACCAGUUAUUAGGUUUAGGGGGAAAUCACUUUUUCACACAGGGUCAUGUAGCUUUGGAUUUUUUUCUCCCUUAAUAAUAAAAAGUUUCAUUUAAAAACUGUUCUGUGUUCAGUUGUGUUGUCAUUGACUAAUAUUUAAAUUUGUUUGAUGAUCUGAAACAUUUAAGUGUGACAAACAUGUAAAAUAAAUAAAUAAAUAUGGAAGAGGGCAAACUCUUUCACACCACUGUAUAUUAGUGCUGUCAAAUGAUUACAAAUUUUAGUAAGAUUAAUAACAGUUGUUAAUCAGGAUUAAUCAUCAUUAACAACUAUGUCUGAAAUAUGACCAUUUUUACUGUAUUUAAUGAAGAGAAAGAUACAGUAAAUGACAGGAGCAGCAUAGAAUUUAAAUAUUUAAAAAAUAUACAUUAUUUUUUUUAAUUGUAAUAUUAAAAGAAACAAACAAAACAAAAUAAAGUUGUAAUUUUUGGAACAUUAGCUUGGGGUUAUAAUAUGGGAAUAAAGUCAUGAUAUUAUGAAAAGAACAAUUUACAAAGAUUAUUUAAGAAGAAAGUUUAAAUAGUUGAAAAAAAAAAAGAUGAGCAAACAUGGGACAAAAGAGCAAACUUUUUAUUGAAAUAUAUAUAACUUCUUAGCAUAUAUACACGUGUUGCUUUACAAAAUAUCAAAGUGGCAAAAUUGCAUCUUUUCAUUUUUCACUGUGUGACCCUCGCUUCAAAAACAUUUGGACACCCCUGGUCUACUGUAAUGUUUAAUAGGAGUGUAAAGGUGACUAUAGGGGUGCUAUUUCAUGUCUAGAGGGCUCUAAUAAUGUUGAAAGGUGUAUUUAAAAGGUCGUAAUUAUUAUAUAUUAUAUAUUCCAGUUAUAUAUUAUAUAUUCCAGUUAAGGAAUAAGGAAUCCUACUUUGCGGAAGGUCACUUGUCAUGGUUGGGUCUGGAUUAGGUCUGUCACGACAACAGAUUUUGCUGGUCGAUAACUGUGCGACAAAUUAUCAUCUACAGUCAAACUUGUCUAUAGCGGCCA